Molecule: long non-coding RNA, 572 nt
Organism: Stegodyphus dumicola
Lineage: Eukaryota; Metazoa; Arthropoda; Arachnida; Araneae; Eresidae
Source: RefSeq, a predicted model, not a curated record
UCUCUCCCUUUGCAGUCCCUUCCCUCAGUCAUCUGUUAUUCAUGAUAUUUCGGACAGGAAAAGCGUAAGGUAGGCAGGUUAGAAAUCAGCAUGCAUGCAUCUAUGUGCGCAUGCAUGAUAUGUGUGUGAAAAACCAUUCGAACCGAAAGCGGAAUUGGCUGUGCAAGUAACCAUGGAAACGGGAGACCAAAACAAAAAGGUCCGGGAGAUCUGUGUCUUUCGCAUUGCUUGCUGAUACAUAUACAAUAGAAUGUCGAUUAUCUAAAGUUAUGUGGAAUGACGGUAUUUUGGAUAACUGACAAUUCGAACGAAGCAGAAGAUGCAAUUAUUUCGGAUAAAACUGAACUGAUGCAAACAGUUUUGACAGUUUAUAUGAAUCUUAUUGUUAAUGAAGAUGAUAUUCCUUAAACUGGGAUGAUGCUCAAGCUAAGAUUAAGACUGAGAUCUCCGAAGCCGUUAGAGUAAAGGUAAAAACAGAAUGUAUUUCAACAACUCAUAAAUUCAGAAAAGAGAAUAUAAAUUGUAUUUAUUUUAUACAUUAUGGAAAUAAAUUUCUUGAUAUUUUUAUGGAA